UACGUAGGGGGCAAGCGUUGUCCGGAUUUACUGGGCGUAAAGCGCGCGUAGGCGGAGCGUUAAGUCCGGUCUGAAAGCCCCCGGCUCAACCGGGGAGGGUGGCUGGAAACUGGCGUUCUUGAGGGCGAGAGAGGAGGGUGGAAUUCCACGUGUAGCGGUGAAAUGCGUAGAGAUGUGGAGGAACACCAGUGGCGAAGGCGACUUUCUGGCCUAUAACUGACGCUGGAGGCGCGAAAGCGUGGGGAGCAAACAGG
RNAcentral lists this ribosomal RNA (254 nucleotides) under uncultured bacterium. RNAcentral's name for it is "partial 16S ribosomal RNA". It matches the Rfam family "Bacterial small subunit ribosomal RNA", at positions 524 to 776 of the family's 1533-position model. The record is from RNAcentral.